This 497-nucleotide ribosomal RNA is filed under the name uncultured bacterium. RNAcentral's name for it is "partial 16S ribosomal RNA". It matches the Rfam family "Bacterial small subunit ribosomal RNA", at positions 28 to 507 of the family's 1533-position model. The record is from RNAcentral.
GAUGAACGCUGGCGGCGUGCCUAAUACAUGCAAGUCGAGCGAACGGACGAGAAGCUUGCUUCUCUGAUGUUAGCGGCGGACGGGUGAGUAACACGUGGAUAACCUACCUAUAAGACUGGGAUAACUUCGGGAAACCGGAGCUAAUACCGGAUAAUAUUUUGAACCGCAUGGUUCAAAAGUGAAAGACGGUCUUGCUGUCACUUAUAGAUGGAUCCGCGCUGCAUUAGCUAGUUGGUAAGGUAACGGCUUACCAAGGCAACGAUGCAUAGCCGACCUGAGAGGGUGAUCGGCCACACUGGAACUGAGACACGGUCCAGACUCCUACGGGAGGCAGCAGUAGAGAAUCUUCCGCAAUGGGCGAAAGCCUGACGGAGCAACGCCGCGUGAGUGAUGAAGGUCUUCGGAUCGUAAAACUCCGUUAUUAGGGAAGAACAUAUGUGUAAGUAACUGUGCACAUCUUGACGGUACCUAAUCAGAAAGCCACGGCUAACUACGUG